UUGUGUUGAGUUCUGUUGUUGAGGUGGUGAGUUCUGUUGUUGAGGUGGUGAGUUCUGUUGUUAAGGUGGUGAGUUCUGUUGUUAAGGUGGUGAGUUCUGUUGUUAAGGUGGUGAGUUCUGUUGUUAAGGUGGUGAGUUCUGUUGUUAAGGUGGUGAGUUCUGUUGUUAAGGUGGUGAGUUCUGUUGUUAAGGUGGUGAGUUCUGUUGUUAAGGUGGUGAGUUCUGUUGUUAAGGUGG
Molecule: long non-coding RNA, 237 nt
Organism: Oncorhynchus keta (chum salmon)
Lineage: Eukaryota; Metazoa; Chordata; Actinopteri; Salmoniformes; Salmonidae
Exons: 2
Source: RefSeq, a predicted model, not a curated record